UUCCUGGAAUCCUCCCCCUGGGACUGUGCUUUCUACCUGACUUACAGCACCUAUCAUUUCUGACUGAGUGCCUGUAUCCACGUGCUUGGUGAAUUCCUGCAGAGGGCAUUCCUUCUACUCAGCCUUCAGAUUUGGCUUCCACCCAUAGCACACAGCAGAUUCUCCACAAUGCUUGUUUUCCAGUUGUGAUAGAGAGGUUGGGCCCCAUAACGAACAGAACCAAUGGUAAGUGUGUAGAAAGAAGACUCUGGAGCUGACAUGGAUCACACCAAGAUGCCUGCAGAAACAGCGUGUCCUAUGAGCAAGACUGUGAAAGCCUCUAUGGCACUUUCCCAAGAUGAACUUCAACAGAAUCCAGUUGUUACUUUUUUCCAGACCUAAAUAUUGUCGUGGUGAAGAUGACACUGAACUCUACAGUUGGUCAAGAGGAUGCUUGAGGCUCUUCAGGCUCAAGACUUGUCAUAUGUACUGUUCAUUUCUGACAUUCUUUUAAAAGCAACCUAUGGCUCCAGUGUUUUGUGCACAUAAAACACACUUGAUGUUACACAUAUUUUUACAGCUUUUCAUAUUCAUAUAUGAUUUUUGACUGAAUGACUUAUAAGA
Arvicanthis niloticus (Nile rat) is the source of this 603-nucleotide long non-coding RNA. RefSeq lists it as uncharacterized. NCBI's taxonomy places the organism in Eukaryota, Metazoa, Chordata, Mammalia, Rodentia, Muridae. The record is from RefSeq and is a predicted model, not a curated record.